UACCAGCACCCCGAGUGGUCGGGACGAUUAUUGGGCCUAAAGCAUCCGUAGCCGGUCCUGCAAGUCUUCCGUUAAAUCCAGCUGCUCAACAGAUGGGCUGCGGGAGAUACUAUAGAGCUAGGAGGCGGGAGAGGCAAGCGGUACUCGAUGGGUAGGGGUAAAAUCCGUUGAUCCAUUGAAGACCACCAGUGGCGAAGGCGGCUUGCCAGAACGCGCUCGACGGUGAGGGAUGAAAGCUGGGGGAGCAAACCGG
Molecule: ribosomal RNA, 253 nt
Filed under: uncultured bacterium
Lineage: Bacteria
Description: partial 16S ribosomal RNA
Rfam family: Archaeal small subunit ribosomal RNA
Source: RNAcentral